Molecule: long non-coding RNA, 2418 nt
Filed under: Drosophila guanche
Lineage: Eukaryota; Metazoa; Arthropoda; Insecta; Diptera; Drosophilidae
Source: RNAcentral
GGCAUUGCCAAAUUAUUUGUUUUAAGCGAAAAACAUUUGAACUCAUGGGAAACAUUGAAGUUUGCGCUGUUGAAUGAGUUUCAGUCGAAGGUAAAUAGCAAACAGAUACACAUGCAACUCAACGAGAGUAAACGACGACCGAAAGAGAAUGUUCUGGAAUAUUUUUAUCGCAUGAGAGAUAUUGCUGCAAGAGNUGCAAUACGUGAUUGACGGUGUCGACGAGAUGGCAUUAAAUAAAUCUAUUUUAUAUGGUGCGAAAAAGAUGUCUGAUUUUAAGGACAAAUUAAAAGAUUAUGAGAAAAUAAACGAGAAAAUAAAAAAGAGUGAGAAGACGGGAAGAGAUAAGAAGAUGUCGGUUGGACAAAAUUAUACCCAGACUGGCAAAAAAGACGUAGUGUGUUAAGACUGCGGAGAGAAGGGUGAUGUGUCUAGCAGUUGCUCGAGCAAAGAGAAGGGAAAAAAGUGCUUCAAGUGCAAUCAGUUUGGGCACAUUUCAAAGAAUUGCAAGGAGAAAAGUGAGAAGGCAAACGAAGAAAAACAAAACUUGCGUGUAAUUUUGAAUAGAGCGGAAUUGACAUCCAAAGAAGUUUCGAUUAAAAAUAUGAAAUGUAUGGCACUAUUUGACAUUGGCAGUAAAUUCAAUAUUUUGCGCGAAGACUUUUACUGUGUAUGCCAAAAUUAAAGAACUGCAGAGUGCGCUUGGUCGGUUUCGGAAGUGAAAGCAAGGCUGACUAUAUCAAGCCGAUUGGUCAAGUAGUACAUAGCAUACGUAUUGACGACGAAGAAUAUGUUUUGAAAUUUUAUGUUGUUGCAGCUAAGUUCAUGGAAGAUAAUCGGGGAAGAGCUUUGUUUGCACGCAGAAGUAUCAUUUAAUCGCCAUGGAGUAAAAGUUAAUAAAAUGCCAAAUGAAAAUAAUGAAGGUGCGUGUGACGGAUCGUCCAUAAUGAAAAUCGACGUAACGGUGGACAAUUCUGAACUGAACAUAAACGAAGCGAUAAACGAGAUUACACGAAAAGAAGUUUGCGAAAUAGUAACGACGUAUAAACCGGAAAAAUCAAAAACAAGAAAAUAUGACGUGCCGCUGCAGACCUAUCACAUCGACUUUUUGGGUCCACUGGAGUCAACCAGAAAGAGCUACAAACACAUACUUGUUGUUAUCAACGCUUUCACGAAGUUUUGCUGGCUAUACCCUACAAAGUCUACUACAUCUAACGAGGUCAUAUUAAAGUUACGCAGCCAAAGCGUGACGUUUGGCAACCCUGCUUGUAUCAUUUCAGAUAGAGGUUCGGCGUUUACCGCACAAGAUUUCCUACAGCACUGCGAAGACGAAAAAAUUAAACUGGUGAAGACGACUACCGGACUGCCACGGGUAAACGGGCAGGUGGAAAGGCUCAACUCAGUGAUCAUCUCCGUGCUAGCCAAGCUCAGUGUAGACGAUCAAUCCAAAUGGUUUAAGCACGUAGAUCGAGUCCAGCGAGCAAUAAACUCGACGUACACCAGAAGCAUCGAUACAACUCCUUUCGAGCUUCUGAUGGGUAUCAAGAUGCGCACCAAAGAUGACAGGCAGCUUCAGAGUUUGAUCCAGAAGGAGUCCAUCAUUGCAUUUGAAGACGACCGCAAUGAGCUACGGGCUAAAGCGAAAACUCAAAUUCUGAAUCUGCAAGCCGAGAACAAGAAGACGUAUAACUUGAGACGUAAACCACCCAGACAUUACGACGUUGGCGACCUAGUUGCCAUAAAGAGGACUCAGUUUGGAAGCGGACUCAACCUUAAGCCAAAGUUUUUGGGUCCUUACCAGAUCAUUAAGGUGAAGCAUAACAAUGCUUACGACGUCAAAAAAGUUGGCAAUUCCGAUGGUCCAAAGCACUCCUCUUCGUGUGCGGAGUACCUGAAGCCAUGGUCCACGAGCAAUGACGACGAUAGCGACGAUGCAUUCGAGGCGAGUGCAUAGUCAGGACGGCCGGAUGUAGGCUGGGUUUUGCAAAAUUGCGAUCCCUAGACAAAACACCAAAACGAGCAAGGACGAAUUCGCGCCACUGCGAAUUCCAAACAAGAGAGCAAACGCAAAGAGAAGACGAAGGAGAGCGAGAUGAGAGCGAGAGCGGACAACCGAUCGGCGAGAGAACGCUGAGAAGGGUUUUUUCUAUCCAACCUCCGACGUAAAAGGUGUGCGAGACCAGACGACGAACGACGCAGAUAUCUAAUUCUUGUACCGUUAUACCAUACUUAAUCACUUAUUAACCUUUACUUAUAAACAAUAAACAUAAACCCCCACAUAUAUAUACUUUAUUGGGUCGGAAACGCUUCCUUCUGUGCGAUACAUACAACCGUUAUUCGCACAAAUACAAUAUACCCUAUUUACUCUUUGAGUGCCGGGUAUAAAAAUGCAUUUGCAAAAGCUUUACCCAGACGGUAGGC